CAAUAGCGUAUAUUUAAGUUGUUGCAGUUAAAAAGCUCGUAGUUGGAUUUCGGAUGGGAUUUGCCGGUCCGUCGUUACGAUGUGCACUGGCCAGUCCUAUCUUGUUGUCGGGGACUAGCUCCUUGGAUUCACUUCCUGGGACUAGGAGCUGACGAGGUUACUUUGAGUAAAUUAGAGUGUUCAAAGCAAGCCUACGCUCUGAAUACAUUAGCAUGGAAUAACACGAUAGGACUCUGGCUUAUCUUGUUGGUCUGUGAGACCAGAGUAAUGAUUAAGAGGGACAGUCGGGGACAUUCGUAUUUCAUUGUCAGAGGUGAAAUUCUCGGAUUUAUGAAAGACGAACUUCUGCGAAAGCAUUUGUCAAGGAUGUUUUCAUUAA
This 379-nucleotide ribosomal RNA is filed under the name uncultured eukaryote. RNAcentral's name for it is "partial 18S ribosomal RNA". It matches the Rfam family "Eukaryotic small subunit ribosomal RNA", at positions 592 to 976 of the family's 1831-position model. The record is from RNAcentral.